UUAUUAUUAUUAUUAUUAUUAUCUGCCUCUUUUGUUUGAUGCCUGUAGUUUUAUGUAUGAAAUUGUAUGCGAUUUUGGAGUCUCUUGGCCUCUGACUAGUGAAACUCGAGGUUGAUUUCUGUCUCUUUGUUGCUAAGUGCUUGCCAUUUGAUGGAAGAGGCCUUUUCUGUUGUAUUUUAAUGAGCUGAACAUUUUGAUUGAUAGAAAAAAAAAAUGAAGUGAGAGAGGGCUUGAAUGGAAACUCGACAAAAGCAGGAGGACUUCUUGUGCACUUUUUCCUUCAUAUUCAUGCCUAAUAGGUGUAGGAUUUCUUUUUCCUCAGUGACAUGUAGAUACAGAUGCAUCAAUCACACAUACGAGAUAUCUGUUUGUCCUAUAUUUUACUUUAAAAUGGGAAGAAUAAAUAUAAUAGAAACCUAGGAUUGGUGUGUUUGAAGAUGAAUUGAAGUCCUUUGGAUGGUGCCAGCAUUGGAUCAUAUAAGAACUCCUCAUUAGGUAUCUGUAAAUCCCAUUUGAAUUUUCUCACAAUAUUAUGCAAGAAAACAAGUAUCUCUAUACAAGCAAAUUCAUGCCCCAAGCACAUCCUUGAUGCCCCUUCAAAGGGAAUGUAUGAAUAUUGAGCAGGUCCUCCUGCAAACUUGAAGCAUCAAGGUCUUCUGGAUUUGGACAAACAGCUGGAUCUUUUUAUGUUGAGCCAGUGCUCAUAUACAAAUAGCAUAACUAAGGAAGCAACUUUGUAUUAAUGAGAGAUAUUUUCCCUGCUAUGGUAUAGUCCAUGAUGCAUAUAUUUCAUUCAAGAUUAGUUUUUUCCAAAAAUGAAGAUUCCUUAUGUACUUGAAAUUAGAAGGUUAUGGCUACUCAAGAGUUAAAAAUAGAAAUAAACCUACAAAUUCCAAACAGUUCAUAAUAAUAUUUACUAUAAAAAAUAUGUAAUAGUAUAAAACUUAAAGUAAAAGGGGAG
This 961-nucleotide unclassified non-coding RNA is filed under the name Hevea brasiliensis (rubber tree). Lineage: Eukaryota; Viridiplantae; Streptophyta; Magnoliopsida; Malpighiales; Euphorbiaceae. The record is from RNAcentral.